CUAUUCGGCCCCCGAAGUCUACCUCUCCGUACUCCCGAAAAAUGCUUGCCUCCAAUUGCCCUUGGAUUUUUAGGACAACCCACAAGCUACACCGUACCCUCUUCAAACCCCGGAUUGUAGCUUUCCGUACUCUUGAAGAUAUGCUUGCCUCCAACCAACCUUGGAAUUUUUAGGUGGUUUCACAAGCUGCAACCUCAAACUCUCCUUGUGUCCAACUACCUCCCGCAGUCUGACAAGUUACCAAGCUUGAUCACCGUUGCUUCCACACAAGGUCUCCAUAGCCAUACCACUUUGGUGUACCUCCACCUCAAACCGAGAUUCCUCCACCAAAACCUUAAACCGGUAUAUCCACUAUGUCCUCCACCUUGUAACCGAGUAUUAUU
This 383-nucleotide long non-coding RNA is filed under the name Trifolium pratense (red clover). RNAcentral's name for it is "long non-coding RNA (TPRA_LNC002673)". Lineage: Eukaryota; Viridiplantae; Streptophyta; Magnoliopsida; Fabales; Fabaceae. The record is from RNAcentral.